UGGCGAACGGGUGAGUAACGCGUGAGGAACCUGCCUCAAANAGGGGGACAACAGUUGGAAACGACUGCUAAUACCGCAUAAGCCCACGGGUCGGCAUCGACCAGAGGGAAAAGGAGCAAUCCGCUUUGAGAUGGCCUCGCGUCCGAUUAGCUAGUUGGUGAGGUAAUGGCCCACCAAGGCGACGAUCGGUAGCCGGGCUGAGGGGUUGAACGGCCACAUUGGGACUGAGACACGGCCCAGACUCCUACGGGAGGCAGCAUG
This 261-nucleotide ribosomal RNA is filed under the name uncultured bacterium. Its description in RNAcentral is "partial 16S ribosomal RNA". It matches the Rfam family "Bacterial small subunit ribosomal RNA", at positions 96 to 353 of the family's 1533-position model. The record is from RNAcentral.